RNAcentral lists this ribosomal RNA (493 nucleotides) under uncultured bacterium. Its description in RNAcentral is "bacterial SSU rRNA". It matches the Rfam family "Bacterial small subunit ribosomal RNA", at positions 903 to 1397 of the family's 1533-position model. The record is from RNAcentral.
AAAGGAAUUGACGGGGGCCCGCACAAGCGGUGGAGCAUGUGGUUUAAUUCGACGCAACGCGAAGAACCUUACCAAGGCUUGACAUGGAUAUGACCGGUGCAGAGAUGCGCCUUCCCUUCGGGGCAUAUCACACAGGUGGUGCAUGGUUGUCGUCAGCUCGUGUCGUGAGAUGUUGGGUUAAGUCCCGCAACGAGCGCAACCCUUAUGUUUAGUAACCAGCAGGUAGAGCUGGGCACACUAGAGAGACUGCCGUGGUAACACGGAGGAAGGUGGGGACGACGUCAAAUCAUCAUGCCCCUUACGUCUUGGGCUACACACGUGCUACAAUGGCCGAAACAAAGUGAAGCGAGAGCGUGAGCUGGAGCAAACCAAGAAAAGCGGCCUCAGUUCGGAUUGCAGUCUGCAACUCGAGUGCAUGAAGUCGGAAUCGCUAGUAAUCGCGAAUCAGCAUGUCGCGGUGAAUACGUUCCCGGGCCUUGUACACACCGCCCGU